CCAGACAGCCAGGAUGUUGGCUUAGAAGCAGCCAUCAUUUAAAGAAAGCGUAAUAGCUCACUGGUCGAGUCGGCCUGCGCGGAAGAUGUAACGGGGCUAAACCAUGCACCGAAGCUGCGGCAGCGACACUGAUGUGUUGUUGGGUAGGGGAGCGUUCUGUAAGCCUGUGAAGGUGGCCUGUGAGGGUUGCUGGAGGUAUCAGAAGUGCGAAUGCUGACAUAAGUAACGAUAAAGCGGGUGAAAAGCCCGCUCGCCGGAAGACCAAGGGUUCCUGUCCAACGUUAAUCGGGGCAGGGUGAGUCGACCCCUAAGGC
This 314-nucleotide ribosomal RNA is filed under the name Salmonella enterica subsp. enterica serovar Lubbock. Its description in RNAcentral is "partial 23S ribosomal RNA". It matches the Rfam family "Bacterial large subunit ribosomal RNA", at positions 1085 to 1397 of the family's 2925-position model. The record is from RNAcentral. Lineage: Bacteria; Pseudomonadati; Pseudomonadota; Gammaproteobacteria; Enterobacterales; Enterobacteriaceae.